Molecule: ribosomal RNA, 346 nt
Filed under: uncultured Gammaproteobacteria bacterium
Lineage: Bacteria; Pseudomonadati; Pseudomonadota; Gammaproteobacteria
Description: bacterial SSU rRNA
Rfam family: Bacterial small subunit ribosomal RNA
Source: RNAcentral
AUUGAACGCUGGCGGCAGGCCUAAACACGAUGCAAGUCGAGCGGUAACAUUUCUAGCUUGCUAGAAGAUGACGAGCGGCGGACGGGGUGAGUAAUGCUUGGAAAUCUGCCUGGUAGUGGGGGACAACAGUUGGAAACGACUGCUAAUACCGCAUAACGUUUACGGACCAAAGCGGGGGACCUUCGGGCCUCGUGCCAAAAGAUUAGCCCAAGUGAGAUUAGCUAGUUGGUGGGUAAAGGCCUACCAAGGCGACGAUCUCUAGCUGGUUUGAGAGGAUGAUCAGCCACACUGGGACUGAGACACGGCCCACGACUCCUACGGGAGGCAGCAGUGGGGAAUAUUGCAC